GAGCACUGUUCGUGACCUGCCGGCCUGGCCGUGGCUGACGGGUUCCAUUCCAGUGCCACAGGAACUCCGGCACUGCUGUCGCUCACCGACUGCCCCGAGGCUCUCGGUUUCAGGUGCCGGAGACACUG
Small nucleolar RNA from Erinaceus europaeus (western European hedgehog), 128 nucleotides. NCBI's taxonomy places the organism in Eukaryota, Metazoa, Chordata, Mammalia, Eulipotyphla, Erinaceidae. The record is from Ensembl.